Molecule: long non-coding RNA, 783 nt
Organism: Contarinia nasturtii (swede midge)
Lineage: Eukaryota; Metazoa; Arthropoda; Insecta; Diptera; Cecidomyiidae
Exons: 2
Source: RefSeq, a predicted model, not a curated record
CAUUAGUGCGUUAUAUUCACAGUUGGUUUUGUGAUUGUAUUUGUUUUAAUUUCAGAAUAACAGAGCGUUGAUGAAAUUUACGGUGAAUGUUCCAACCACAUUCCGAUCUGCAAAAUAUUUGAUGUCACAUUGAAAAUAAAUUUCAUCAUUGGAAUUAAAAUACAGGGUGACUUUGUUGAGAGCGUGCGAAAGAUUUGGAUGCGAAAGAAAAUCAGCGACUACAUAGAUCAUAAUCCAAACAAUUUCAUAACCAAAUCAUGACGAAUAGUGUUUCCGUAUUGGUUCUGUAGACCAAACCAGAGCGGUUGAAAAACGUGGUUGGCUGUAACGCGUCGCAACAUCCUGAAAAAAUCUGAUGAACCGGCCGUUGAAAUGAGCUAUUUUGAAAUGUAUUUUGAAAUGUGUUUGAAUCGUAACUCACUAUUUUUUAUGAAUUUGAAUUUUGAAGAAAAACAUCACAAUACCAAACACGCGAUUACACUGUGAUACUCAGCAGAAAAGAAGAGAUAAAGAGGCGAAAAAAUUAGCUGGAUGGUCUGAUAUCGAAGAAAAGAAUCAUCUGAAGUCAUACUCAUUCAUUCCACCAUCACCACGUAAUUCAUCUGUAUUUUAGUCUCAAGUAUACAAAGCACUGUUGAGUCAGCACUCAGCAGCGGCUAACUUAGGUGCUCAAAUACUUCGUUCCUUGAGUAAAAUACUAGGUAAAAUAUGAGUAAUAAACAAUGUUUUUGACCCCGAAUACAAAUACAUAAACAGUAAAAUCAAUCAUUGUACUGAAGUGAA